RNAcentral lists this ribosomal RNA (483 nucleotides) under uncultured bacterium. Its description in RNAcentral is "partial 16S ribosomal RNA". It matches the Rfam family "Bacterial small subunit ribosomal RNA", at positions 30 to 506 of the family's 1533-position model. The record is from RNAcentral.
AUUGAACGCUGGCGGCAGGCCUAACACAUGCAAGUCGAGCGGAUGAAGGGAGCUUGCUCCUGGAUUCAGCGGCGGACGGGUGAGUAAUGCCUAGGAAUCUGCCUGGUAGUGGGGGAUAACGUCCGGAAACGGGCGCUAAUACCGCAUACGUCCUGAGGGAGAAAGUGGGGGAUCUUCGGACCUCACGCUAUCAGAUGAGCCUAGGUCGGAUUAGCUAGUUGGUGGGGUAAAGGCCUACCAAGGCGACGAUCCGUAACUGGUCUGAGAGGAUGAUCAGUCACACUGGAACUGAGACACGGUCCAGACUCCUACGGGAGGCAGCAGUGGGGAAUAUUGGACAAUGGGCGAAAGCCUGAUCCAGCCAUGCCGCGGGUGUGAAGAAGGUCUUCGGAUUGUAAAGCACUUUAAGUUGGGAGGAAGGGCAGUAAGUUAAUACCUUGCUGUUUUGACGUUACCAACAGAAUAAGCACCGGCUAACUUCGC